Tripterygium wilfordii is the source of this 1854-nucleotide long non-coding RNA. RefSeq lists it as uncharacterized. The transcript is spliced from 3 exons. NCBI's taxonomy places the organism in Eukaryota, Viridiplantae, Streptophyta, Magnoliopsida, Celastrales, Celastraceae. The record is from RefSeq and is a predicted model, not a curated record.
CUUGCAUUUCCAGAUGCAAUGAAUUUGGUUGGCGCUGACUUUGAUUGCUUCAAUUGACAUGGAAAAUGGAAACACUAUCAAAACUGAGGUCAAAUCCAUUUUUUGGUUGUUCGCAUUGAAUGAACUCUAUGAGGGGGCUUUGUUAGGAGAUGCGAAGGAGGUCUGUGACAGAGGUAUGUGCAUGGUUCAUUCAGGUUCAUGGAUAUGCUUUUUGUUAUGGGAUAUUGGGGUCUUCCCCUCACUUCAUCUUACAUUAUCCUGAAAUUUAUGAUCUUUAAAUUUUUCGUGCUCAAAUCCACUCAUCAAGUUCACUUAUGCUGAUUUCUAAUCAGGUUAGGAUUUGGAUUUCAAUUUCCUUAUGUGAUAUUCAUUGAAAAUUGUAGGUGAUUUAUGGUUUUGUCAUUCUAGCAUCUUACUUGGUCUUUGAUGGUUUAGGAUGGAGAAGCCGGAGGUGCCUGGCACAAGGUCCUUUUUUACCGUAAUAGUUGCCUCAAUCAUGGAUAUAAAGUUUUCCAAGAAUGGAAGGCAUAUACUUAGUCGUGACUACAUGACUCUCAAGCUAGGUUGUACUGGCAGAUGAGCAUAAUAACCAUUCAGCAAGUCCAGCCAAUCCACCGAAAUUAUAUGGUAAGGCCUCCUUUUGUCUGAGUUAACUAUUAUGGUAUUUUACGGGAUUAUAUCGUCCCUACAUGAGCCCUAAUGUUCAUAAUUAUUUUGAUGUUCUGGCAUAAGAGGUGUGUAUCUUGCUUAGAACUCCAUCUAUAUUUUCUCAGUGAACUUUAAGGUCAAAUUUGCAAUGCAAUACAUGAUAUCAUGCUUUUACAUCUGACUUGGUUAGCUUUUGUAAAUGAAUUUUACUUUUCUGUUAAUAAUAGUAGGAAAAAAAUGUAAACUGAUUAAAUUCAUAUCUGGAUGUAUUGGUAAAUAUGAAGCUCAUCUAUGGAACAAUAUUUGCAAAAAAAGGGUUCAAGGCAGGGUAAGCGUUGUAAUUUGUACUCAUUGCAUUAUCAAACAAUAUAUUAAACAUGGUUUUCUCUUCACCCCCUUUUUCUUCAAGGUGGAAGAGGUUCUUGCUACAGAUAAAUCCUCCGUCCAAAUGAGUUAAUUAACUAUAUCUUUACUUCUUAAUCUACUCUAUAUUUCUCUGACUUUUGGUUUUUGUAUUGCUUGCUUGGGAUGUGCCUUUUGGGUUCUCAAGAUGAUUUUCAGGUUAUUUGGGUGAGCACUAUGUCUAUAUGGUUCUACCAUUGAGGUAUGGUGCUGCUCAAAGCAUGUAGCUGUUUUGGUUCUACCAAGGGCGGAGCCACGUUUGGGCCUGGGUGGGCUGUAGCCUGGGUGAAUUUUUUUGACAAAUGUUUAGUACUUAUAUCUUCAAUAGCCCAACCCAAUACUAAAAACAUAAUACCCAAGUAACCCAACAAACAGAGAGCCCAAAUGGACAAAUGGUAUGUCCACGAUCCACCAGCUCCAAUUGUUGCAACUUGCUGCGCGUCCUCGAGCUCCAAUUGUUGCAGGUCCUCUAGCCAUCCAGCGGACCAGCUCAGCAGCUCCAAAUCUUGGAACUCGGAAGCAAGGCUCGCCGACAACACCGAGAGUGGAUCAUUGGAAGUUUUUCCUUUCUGCAAUGAGAAUGAAAUCCAGUCUGCAACUCAAGCAAAUAAGAAAGCUUUUUCCAGCUCGCAAUUAUGGAGGUAAUUGAAGCCUGAAUGAUGUCACUACUUCAAGAGUGCGUGGGAACUUAUUUACAUGCAUAUCUUGAAGUAUAUUUCAUAAUUGUAGAACUUAUGAGCCUCAAAAUGAUCAUAUUCCAUUGAAGUAAUCAAAUAAAGGACAUGACAACAUAUGAUUUACUUA